CCCACACUUUGCCUCCAACUCAAUCACAGAGGACUCGGUCCUUCAUCCUGGCAUCAAAGUCUGUUUGAUCAGCUUUUCAUCCAUUUUCCGAAAAUGUGGGAUUUAGGGAUGCUCUGAAUCUUGCAGGACUAGAAGUGCGGCGCCCUGACAAUAUACUGGGGUAGCCCCCAACCUGCCAUUGGAAUCCUGUUGGGUGGCAGUUCCCUGUGUUUUCAGAGAAGACAGCGGGGAAUCCGAGAGACUGCCAAGUUCACGAGUCACGAUCAAGGAGGGCCACGGGUCCGUUGGUCAAGUGAUGGGCAAGGCCAGGGGUACCUGGCGGGGUGCAGGCCUCAGGGCCAGGGAGCCCGGGGGGUCCUGGCAGGCAGGGCUGUGGGUGGCUCUGGACCAGCGCUCAGGGUGAGGAAGGAGGCAGAACAGAGCAGGGAGGACACCAAGGACCCAGCAAGGGUUGCUAAGAGGCAGAAUGAAAUCAGGGCUCAGAAAGUGCAAAACGCAAAGACCUAUGAAGAAAAGCUAAUCACCCCCACACUCCCACCCCCCAGUCCCUCUCCCCAAAAGUGUCUACACCCUCAAGCUCCCCUGCUGCAACUCUCCUGACUCUGCACACAAAUAAAGCCACAGUCGGGGAUCUGGGCCUGUUUGCUUUUACUACAAUACGGCCAUCCUUGCUCUUUUUACUGGAAUGCGUCUUGCUUGGGGCUGCACCUGGCAGGUCAGCUAACUCAGGUGGGGACGGCCAGGUAAGGCUAUAGGGAAGAGCCAGGAUCUGCUCCACCCAGCAGCGGGGAAGGACUGGAGGGGGCAGAGGGUGGGGAGCUGAAAAGAAGCCAGAGGGAGGAGCUGAGGAUGGGCGCCCCGCCCGGCCCCACUAAGUGACCUUGGGAGGACCAGAGUCCCCACCAGAACAUGGAGGCUGUUCCUGGGGGUGAGAGAGGAUGCUGGGCAGACAAAAACUGGCAGAACCACUCCACUCAUAAAAGGAUGUGUUGUCAGGCACUUUUCUAAUGCAUAAUACCUCCCUCCCUUUGUUUCUCAUCUGGGGCGGGGAGGGGUGGUGUCAGCUAGUUGCCCGCUGGGGAGAUUGCUGGGAGGAGGGAGAAGCAAUAGGGUUUAUGAGGAAAGGUGAAUUUGUG
Molecule: long non-coding RNA, 1136 nt
Filed under: Zalophus californianus (California sea lion)
Lineage: Eukaryota; Metazoa; Chordata; Mammalia; Carnivora; Otariidae
Description: lncRNA (ENSZCAG00015008018.1)
Source: RNAcentral